RNAcentral lists this long non-coding RNA (1092 nucleotides) under Felis catus (domestic cat). Its description in RNAcentral is "lncRNA (ENSFCAG00000053181.1)". The record is from RNAcentral. Lineage: Eukaryota; Metazoa; Chordata; Mammalia; Carnivora; Felidae.
GGAAGGAGAGACGGGGAGGGCCGGGCGUCGGGACCCCGGGCUCUCAGUCACCCUCUGCAGACAGUCUGGGUCCCCCUGAGCAGAGGGCGAUCUUCCGGGUGGGCCUGCGCCCCUGGACACGAGGGGCGGUGCGGGGCCUUGCCGUCGCCCCGGGGCAGCCGUUUCCAGCUGCGAGCACGGCCCUCGUCCACCCUCGCCUGUGCUCCCCGGGCCGGCCCUCACCUCCAGCCAGAAACGAAAGCAUUUCACAACCUCUGUGGCUUUGGGCCGGGUUUGCAUGGCGUCCCGGGGAAGAGGGAACACGGGGCCGGGGUGUCUCCGGGAAACAGGGGCGUCCCUCCCGGAACACGCAGGGUGGGCUCCGUGUCUGUGACGGCUCUGGUGCGCCUGUCUGCAGGGCGGGGGAACCUCUCUGGAGACCCAUCAAUUUGGGGAAGUGGUGAGGCCAGGGGAGGGCUGGGCGGGGUUUUCAGAGAAGGGCAAGGGAGGGAGCCGAAGCUGUCUCAGGUUCCAGAACAGGCCCCACCCCUGGGGCAGGACAGGGCGCGGGGUGGGGGGGGGGCAGGCCCAGAGCAGGCCCCUCUCCUCACAUUCUGCACCACCCCGCCCCAUGGGGGCAGCCCCUGUGCACAUCCGGCCCUGAGCCCGUCCUUACUCAGGCUCAAGGCCCGCGGGCCAGCAGGGAGGACCCUGCAGAGUGCGGUCACGGCUGAUGCCCCCCGGAAUUCUCGGUCCAGCACGACAGACACCUGCUCCUGCCUCGGCCUGGAUCCUGGAGCCCAGUGCAACGUUGGGGGGGCCCUGACCAAAGGGACAUCUGCUUUCCAGGACAUGGCCCAGACGGUCCUGCCUGGGCAGGGUCGCCUCCCACUUCUGCCUGGCCCCGGGGGACGGUCCUCCCGGUGCAGGAAGGGACCUUCUUGGGGAGCCAGAGCACUCUGGACUCAGCCGCUCUCAUCUGGCUGCACCCCAAUGUCCGCCAACACCGUGGGACAGACCCACAGAGGACCCCGGAGCCACUCGGCGGAUGCAGGAAGGCAUUCCGCGUCCUCCCAGCCCCCACCCCCGGGGAUAAACACCCUCAGCAAGUGA